GUCUCUUUGAAAAUUUAAUAAUAAAGAGUUUGGCCUGCUCAGUGAGAUUUUUAACAGCUGCGGUAUUAUAACUGUACUAAGGUAGCAUAAUAAUUUGCCUUAUAAAUUAAGGCUAGAAUGAAUGGUUUGACGAAAAUUAUACUGUCUCUAUUUUAAUUAAUAGAAAUUAAUUUUUAUAGUGAAAAAGCUUAGAUAAUUUAAAGGGACGAGAAGACCCUAUUGAGCUUUAUAUUAGUUAUAAUAAAUAAUAAAAAUAUAAUUUAUUUGGUUAAAUUAGUAUUAUAUUAAUAAUAUUUAUUAUGUUUAAUUUUGAUUGGGGUGAUCAAGGAAUAAAGUGGAUAUUAUUUAACUUCCUUAAAAUUUAAUUUUUUUAGAAUAAUUAACCAAUGAUAUUGCUUAUAUGAUAAGUUACCAUAGGGAUAACAGCGUAAUUUUUUUGGAGAGUUCAUAUUAAAAAAAGAGAUUGCGACCUCGAUGUUGGAUUAAAAUAACCAUAAGGUGAAGAGGCUUUAUUUGGUGAAUCUGUUCGAUUUUUAAAAUUUU
RNAcentral lists this ribosomal RNA (543 nucleotides) under Enteroctopus dofleini (giant Pacific octopus). RNAcentral describes it as "partial 16S rRNA". It matches the Rfam family "Bacterial large subunit ribosomal RNA", at positions 1819 to 2597 of the family's 2925-position model. Lineage: Eukaryota; Metazoa; Mollusca; Cephalopoda; Octopoda; Octopodidae. The record is from RNAcentral.